RNAcentral lists this ribosomal RNA (253 nucleotides) under uncultured bacterium. Its description in RNAcentral is "partial 16S ribosomal RNA". It matches the Rfam family "Bacterial small subunit ribosomal RNA", at positions 524 to 776 of the family's 1533-position model. The record is from RNAcentral.
UACGUAGGGGGCUAGCGUUGUCCGGAUUUAUUGGGCGUAAAGAGCGUGUAGGCGGCCAGGUAGGUCCGUUGUGAAAACUGGAGGCUUAACCUCCAGCUGUCGAUGGAAACCAUCUGGCUAGAGUCCGGAAGAGGAGAGUGGAAUUCCUGGUGUAGCGGUGAAAUGCGCAGAUAUCAGGAAGAACACCCGUGGCGAAGGCGGCUCUCUGGGACGGUACUGACGCUGAGACGCGAAAGCGUGGGGAGCGAACAGG